UGCACAUCAGACACGACCUCGAACACUUCCCUCAGUGCCAACGCAGGGGAAGAGCAGUGGACCCGGGGAGGGCGCCGCUGAGCUCAGGCACAGACUCUCCCAGG
Myotis brandtii (Brandt's bat) is the source of this 104-nucleotide long non-coding RNA. RefSeq lists it as uncharacterized. NCBI's taxonomy places the organism in Eukaryota, Metazoa, Chordata, Mammalia, Chiroptera, Vespertilionidae. The record is from RefSeq and is a predicted model, not a curated record. The transcript is spliced from 3 exons.